Molecule: ribosomal RNA, 301 nt
Filed under: uncultured bacterium
Lineage: Bacteria
Description: partial 16S ribosomal RNA
Rfam family: Bacterial small subunit ribosomal RNA
Source: RNAcentral
CAGUAGCCGCGGUAAUACAGAGGGUGCAAGCGUUAAUCGGAAUUACUGGGCGUAAAGCGCGCGUAGGUGGUUUGUUAAGUUGGAUGUGAAAGCCCCGGGCUCAACCUGGGAACUGCAUCCAAAACUGGCAAGCUAGAGUACGGUAGAGGGUGGUGGAAUUUCCUGUGUAGCGGUGAAAUGCGUAGAUAUAGGAAGGAACACCAGUGGCGAAGGCGACCACCUGGACUGAUACUGACACUGAGGUGCGAAAGCGUGGGGAGCAAACAGGAUUAGAUACCCCCGUAGUCCCUGUCUCUUAUAA